RNAcentral lists this ribosomal RNA (252 nucleotides) under uncultured bacterium. RNAcentral's name for it is "partial 16S ribosomal RNA". It matches the Rfam family "Bacterial small subunit ribosomal RNA", at positions 524 to 776 of the family's 1533-position model. The record is from RNAcentral.
UACGGAGGAUGCGAGCGUUAUCCGGAUUUAUUGGGUUUAAAGGGUGCGUAGGCGGACUGUCAAGUCAGCGGUAAAAUUGAGAGGCUCAACCUCUUCCCGCCGUUGAAACUGGUGGUCUUGAGUGGAUGAGAAGUACGCGGAAUGCGUGGUGUAGCGGUGGAAUGCAUAGAUAUCACGCAGAACUCCGAUUGCGAAGGCAGCGUACCGGCAUCCAACUGACGCUGAGGCACGAAAGCGUGGGGAUCAAACAGG